RNAcentral lists this long non-coding RNA (8218 nucleotides) under Pan troglodytes (chimpanzee). RNAcentral describes it as "lincRNA". Lineage: Eukaryota; Metazoa; Chordata; Mammalia; Primates; Hominidae. The record is from RNAcentral.
AGGAUGGGUUAGGAUUGCUGAGAUGGGCUGGAGCCGGGGCAGGGGGCCUCCAGCUAAGAGAGGCCUCCUGAGCUUACCUCAUUUGGUCUCAGGGCUAUUCUCAUUUUCCAGAUGAGCAGUGAUGUGAACAAUAUUGGGAAGCAUCAAAGAAAUUGAUGUAAAGUGUCUGGCACAGAGUGAGUGCUCAGUGAUUGUGGGUGCCCUCUCGUCCAGCUCCUCUCUGCUCUGAACAUGCCUUUCUCACGGCACUUAUGAGAAUGUGCCAUCGCUGUUUACUCCUUGUUUGUCCCCCUCUACAUGCUAAAUUCUUGAGGCCCAGGGACUGUGUUACACUCAUCUCCACAGCCCCAGGCCUAGCAAAGUGCCUCCUGCCUAGUAGGUCCUCAGUAUUUGCUGAAUGAAUGGAUGAUGAUUUCAUGGAAGAAUCACCCCCUAAAGUUUCCAGCAACAGGCUGAGGAAACUCAGGAUGAAAACAUCAUGUCUCUUGCCCAGUCUUCACCAUGCUUUUUAGUGGCGGUCACUGCACUGCAUGUUUUCUUUAAGAAGGGUGAGCUCAUGCCAAGGAUGAGGGCAUGGGGUCUGUGCCGGGCACUUCCCAGUUCCACAUUCUGGGUGUAGGGAAGAGGGAGGAUGCCCACAGAGAGGGAGGGAACCAAAUGCAGGAAAGGAGGGCAGGAGGGGCAGUGUUGGCUCCUGGCGGGCCUGGCAUAUGGCUGUGCUCCGAGUUACUUCUGGUCCUGUGUGUGGGGCUGAAGCUUCAGCUGCCACCAGACAUCCCUGCCACGUCCCUCUUGAGAGUCCUAACCUCACUCUCAAGACUCACCCCGAUGCUCUCCAUGAAAAUAAAACGCACCUUCCAUGAAGUGUCCCCAGAAAGCUCCACGGGGGAGGAAGUGCCACUGAGAAAUGAGAACCAAUCCCAGGUGAAAGUCAUGAGCUGAAAGGCCCAUAUCAGGCUGUCGUGGAUGACCUUGGAUGCCCUUGAGGUGUCCUUAAAGGAGGCAGCAUUCGCUUUCUCCCAGUGUGUGUGUGGCAGACCAUAUGCAAGCUUUUGGGCUGACCCAGUUGUGACUAUCACUGUGUCCUCGGGUUUCAUCUUGGGGAAGGGAGUUGGACCAGUUCUUACUCCUGGAGGCUGAUUUCCUAAAGUGCAAAAUUGGGCCAGUCUGUUGAGGCCCAAGUGUUCUGGAAAAGAUCUCUGACAGAUACAUGGAAACUGAAUUUAGUUGCUAGUUAAGAGCUUUCAUGGGAGCAGAGCUCUUGGCUGUGGGUUUCUUAAUUGUCAGGUAUACAUUAGGGCAGUGGUCCCUAAACUUUUUGACCAUGGAGACUGGUUUUGUGGAAGACAGUUUUUCAUAGAUUGGUUUCAGGAUUAAACUGUUCCACCUCAGAUCAUCAGGCAUUAGAUUCUCAUAAGGAGCGUGCAACCCGGAUCCCUCCCAUGCACAGUUCACAAUAGGGUUCCAGCUCCAAUGAGAAUCUAAUGCCACCGCUGAUCUGACAGGAGCUCAGGUGGUAAUGUUUGUCCACUGCUCACCUCCUGCUCUGUGGCCUGGUUCCUAACAGGCAAUGGACUGGUACCGGUCUUCGGCCCAGGGGUUGGGGAUCCCUGCAUCAAGGGACAGAACAACAUUUUGCAGAAGGAAAAAACUGGUCUUCUUCCUGCUUCUCCUUUUUUCUGUACUCGGCCUUCUCUCACUUGUGGACACUUCGUGGACAUAGAAGAGGGGUGCAACACUGCAUCUGGUUCCUCCAAGUGUGGUCUAAGACCUGCAACCUCUGCAUCUCCUGGGAGCUUCUCAGAAAGGCUGAGGCUCAGGCCUCAGCCCAGACCCACAGGAUCAGAAUCUGUAUCUUGACAAGACUCCCCUGGUGACCUGAAUGCAUGUUCAAGUUUGAGAACAUUGAUCUAAUCAUGGAAAUAGGUGUUUUGUGACCCAACAGCCCUCACUUGGAUUCUAGACCCAAAUCCGUAACACACUAACUGUGUAACUGGGGCAGGUUACUCUGAGGCUCUUCGAGUCUCCGAAUCCUCAUUUGUAGAAUGGCACAGAAGUGCCCACUCUAUUAUAGAGUUGUUAAUGGGAUUAAAUUAGUGAAUGUAAAGCUCUUGGCACCCAGUGCUGGGAAGGGCAGCUAUGGAGAUGAUAAUCAUUCCCCUUUGCCCCCCUUCCCAAUCCUGGCACCCAGGACCAAGGCCAGUGCUCUCAGCAGGAGGGAAGCAAGAGCACUGGCUUGACCCGUUGGUGCUCAGGACGGGUAGCACUAAACAGUCCUUCCAAUCAACUUCACGUUUCAAGUGCCUCACCGAGGAUGUUGAUAGCAAUGGGUACAGUUGAGUAACAGUUUACUCGUAUUAUUUCAUUAGAUAUUUUUAUUAGUGCCGUUAUUUCCAUGCUUUUGAAGGAAUUCAUGAGUUUUCAACUUGUAAAUGCAACACAUUUUAAAAUAGCAGUCUUUAAAAGUUAUGGUUGUAAGUUUUAGGCCCUCUGAAUUAAUGUCCUGCCCUAUGUGUCUGGGCAUGAGGCCACAGAUGCCACACAGACUGUACCUAGUGCUGAGUGGAGCCUAUGUGGAAGGGCUGCAGGGUUCAGCUAGAAGUAUCCACUGGGGCAAAGCUAGUGUUGGAAAGAUCCUGGUCUGGCAGCAGAAUGGGCAUCAACGUUGUAAGACUGCAUGUAGCAGGGGGUGGCUGGAUCACCUGGAGCCCAGGGACAAGCCUUGGCACAUCUAUCCCUUCUGAUUGAUUUUAUAUAUUGAAGUCUGCUCUCAUGGGUCUCCUUGCCUUGAAGAUAAUUUUCUCUGUUUUCUGCUAAGGUCCUGAACAUUUCUGGCACAUUACUUGGACCUGAUGGUAAACUCAUUGCUUUGUCACAAGGCACUGGGAGGUUAUCAGCACUGAGAUGCUUUCCAAUGUGCAGUCUCAACCCAGUCCCCUCGGCACACCCACUUCACUUAGACAGUGGGACCUCAAUAAAAAUGUGUUUGAAAGGACACUGUGCCAUCAUUAUUGGUUUAAUGGUCAGGGCCAAUGGGGAAAAGGGAGCAAUGUUGAGAAGUGUGAAUAUGAGGGAUAUCUCACAAAGCAGGUAGGAAGUCAAGAAAUGUAGGUGAAAUGGACAGGAAAGAUUUUUUUUUUUCCAUAAGCCUCUUCAUGUUUAUCUUGGAAGUGAAGAAUUCUAAGACUACUCCAUGAAUUGUCAUUGUGGUAGCUACUCAGUUAUUCUUAGAUAAAACCAACAGUCCCAAAUCUCAGAUAACUGUCAGGAAUAAUGUUAGAAAAGUCAAGAUGAAAUCUUUCUGUGCUUUCGAAGAUCACACUUGGUUUUGAUCCAGGCGGCCAAACCACACUGUCCUGCAGGAUGGCCACUCUGUCAGUUGGUGACUUCUUGCUCCAGGGAGCCCUGGGAGCUGAUAACUCUUGGUUGGGGAAUGUUCCUCUAGCUUUUUACCAAUUCAGUCUUUCAUUGACUGGUUAUUCUUGCUUUUGUGGGCGGCCAUACAAAUCAUGUGCUGUGGGGAAGUCAUGUCAAUCAUUUCACUGUCUACAGGAUUCCCUGGAAGCUUGAAGCAAUUUUUCAGAUAAUUAAGUCCACAGAAUACUUUUUUUCCCUCAAUGAUUGGGAUAUCUCAAGUGAGUCAAAACUUUAUUGCGAUUGCCUCAAUUCUCCAUUUUCCUGGUCAUAUAUCAAAAAAGACUUUCUGCUUCCUAUAUGUGGGGCUUAGCAUCCACAUUGUAAUUCACCAGAGACUCUCUGGAGAGCUUGGCUUGGUCCCAUGUAUCCUAGUACAAGUUUGCCACUGGUCUAAGUUAGAAAAUAUCCAGAUUUGGGGCCCACAGAAAUGUCCACUUUUAUACUUUAUUUUUUAAAUGGAGAGGAGUCUCUGAGUGAGAGAGGAUUUGGAAAAAUGGCCAGCAGAGAACAAUAACAAUAGUGACUAACAUUUAUUGAGUACAUACCAUGUGUUAACUGUGUGAAAUAAUUUUCAUGUAAACCUUUUGGCAACCUAAGGUUGACAGCAUGGAAGCUUUGAGAGUGUAAGUUUCUUGUCCAGAAUUUUAUAACUAGAAAGUGACAGAGCCUGGAUUCCAACCUAUACCCAUGGACACCAGAGUGUCCGUAUGUGUCUUUCCAGUGAGCGAUGGUUCACACUCAUUGGAAACAUGAGUGCCAUUGGAACAUACUAGUCAAUAUGAUGCUGAAAACAGUAACAGAAAGAGUGCAGGUGUUGAAUACGUGUUCCUUUUCACACUGGAAAGAAAGAUGGUGAGAAGUUGGCAUGUCUUCCACGCAAUUCCAUCCCAUCAGCUGGUCUCCAAAUUCCCACUCCUCUUGGUUCCCACUUCUCUUUGUCUCUUUCCAGAAGGAAACAAACUCCCUGAUGACCCUCACUGAAAAUUCACAAACUCUACAAAUUUCAAUAGAUUAGCUGUGGCUUCUUUUUAAAAUACUCAUAGGUAGCUGGGUCCUGGAGAGCUCUAAAGCCCUCUAAUUUUGCUUGCAGACUGAAGAAGGGAAACUCGAGUCACUGGAGACAAAGGGGCAAAGGCAUGGGUUUGGCAGCAGAGGGAAAGAAAUGGUCUGUGACCAGGGCUUAAGCUGUCUGUGUUGGCUCUGAAUGACAGUAUGCUCUUGCUCCAAGGACCUUAAUUGGCUGAUAGAGUGAUUGCUUUGGCCAAAGGUCCAAUUAAUACUCAAGAUUUGAGGAUUGGUUUUCCAACCCCAGUUGGAUGACUUUCCUGGCAAGCAAAGGUUACCACUGUAAAUUCAAUUCGCUUCCUUAACUGUGCACCCACUCUAUAAUGUAAGGCUAUCAUUCUGUCUGGUUAAUUCCAGACAAGACUUUGUGAGCAGAUGGGGAAUUUGGAUUUUCAAAUUCGAAAAAAAAAAAAAAAGCAUAAGUGAGUGUGAGUUUUAUGUAGUUACCUCGAUGCUCCACCUUGUGGAAAAUGUGCUAAAUCCCAAUGUAGUAGGAGGCAGGAUUGGAAAUGUGAAGCAGAGUGGUUGGCCCAGGGGUUUAUGCUUACUGAGAAUGUUCUCAUCAAUAGCUUGCUGUGAUUGGCUAUGGACCUAUUGAAAUCACCAUUAAACUAGAAAACAAAGUUACUCAGCCCUUGUGUGGAAAGUGUCUAAGACAGUAAUGCAGAGGCCGUAGUCUGAAGGUGGCAUCUCGCACUACAGAACAAUGGUAGGAGCUCCAGGUUCGGAUCAUGGUUCUGAAUUUACUAGUUGUGUGCACUUAAGUUGCUUAGUCUAAUUAAUAAAACAGGGAUGAUAAUUCCUCUUUACAGCUUUGUUGCAAGGAUUGCAUUAAAGAAAACAUGUAAAAGCAUAAGGGCAUUCAAUUAAUGUUACAAGAGCCCUUCCCUCAACCCCAAGGGCGGCUGCAGCUGUUCAGCCUGACACUUUAUGUGUGUUGGUCACAGUGCUGUUUUGGAGAAUCACAUACGGGAUAGUGCUUACCUCCCCAUAGCAGCCACGUCAUAGCAAAUAGCUCAUUAGCAUGCAGUUUCUUCCCUCCCUGUUCAGCAGCCCAGCAGACAAGCUGUCUCAGAGCCUGGAUUUCAGCAUGUUGCACUCACCGCAAAUAUUCUGCAGGCUGCCCACUCCAUUCUGCUGCCCUUUGCAAGGCUUCACUUUGCCCUCCAACCCUUUUUUUCUCUUGUUUACCAGAUGGAACGAAGUCUGUUUGUGGAAACACCCUUCCCCUCUGUUUACUUGGACCUGAUUUUGAAAGUAGCAAGUCACUUUAUUUGGGCUGGAGGAAAAAGCACUAAACCAGAUGUUGAGGUGACCGGGAUUCCUGGAAGACAUUCUUCUCUCCAACGAGACACAUGAUGCAUGAAGUAGGAGCCCCUGGCAAGGAGCCCAGGCCGCCAUGGCCUCGCUUGCUUCUGCUUCCCGGCAUGGCCCCGAGGCUAGCUGCCUCUGUACCGCCUGAGCAUCGUCCCCUGGCGUGUCACCAGACUACCCACUACCUGUGCUUGCACCUGCAGAUGGGCAGUUCAGUCGUUGCAGGCUGAAGCUCCCUGUCACAGGAGUCCAUCAGCACUGGAGUUUACCAAAUGGCCCAGUCCAGGUCUGUGUCAUAUUGUUUUGCAAAAGCAAGAAAACUCAUUCAGGGCUUGUUACUUUUAUCCCUGACUUCCUAAGUGAGCAGUGUAGCCAGAGAACUACAUCCCCUGACAUCCUUUAAGAGCCAUGACCACUCCUGCCCUUGCUUUGUGACAGGCACUCCUGGAUGCUGAAGUGCUGUUGCUGUGCACCACUGUGCAUCCUGUGCGAGGAUGAGCACUCCAGUCCUUACUCCCUCUUCCCGUGGCUGGCUCAUUAGCCAGAGCAAACUGUGGCCCUGAAGGAGCAGAAGGAGCAUUUGACUCUUCCCAGCUGUCAGUCUUUGGAAAAUUAAGCAAAGUGGAAUGAAAGGCAUUUAUUCAUUUAACUGGCAGUUAUUUAUUGAGCAUCUAUUAUGUGGCAGGCACCGUGGUGACACUGAAAAGAGAAGGGUGAACAAGGACAGUCCUGAGCUCAAGCAGGCUGCUGGCAGGUGGUAGUGGGGGCAGACAAGGAAAGGGGCACCCAUGCCAUGGCCUGCAAUGCACCACCUCCAGGACAAGGCUUGGGACCCAUCCCUGGGUCUUGGGGGACAUUCUAAAAGGAAGCGGUGGCUCAGCAUAGACCUGAAGGACAAGAAGGCACCAGUCAUGUGUGGAGUGGGUUGGUGGAGAUGCGCAAAGUGCAAGGAGGUCUGGAGGUGAGACCUCCAGGCAGAAUGGAGGGAGGUGUGUCCCAUAGCAUGUGGACUCUAAGGGGCUGGGAGAUCUUAGGGGUACCUGGAGGCUGACUGAAGGCUGGCCAGGGAGCCUGCCUGGUAAGGGCCUCCAAGGUCAGGUUUGGGUGUAAGAGUAGCCAUUUCUAGCACUGGUUGAGGUGCACUUCCCUGUCAGUGCCCCAAAAUCCUUCAGCAGUGUCUGAUACGAUGUUCUAGACGGGCAUUGUUUUCAGUGCAGGCCCUGUCUCAUUCUUCAGGAAGCAUGCUCAUGGCAAUACCCGGAGUCUCCACUGCAAGACCAGAGUGAUGGAGGCAGCAGAGCUCCUCAGCAGGCCAGGAGUCUCCAGAGGCACUGCCGAAUGUCUAAGAAGCAACCUCAUUGUAUUCCCAAGAGCUGGGAAUCCAGGUCUCGCAGAUACGAUGAUACAAUCUAUAGCCAGGACAUCUCUUCAUGUGUAGUUUUCAAUGAAUACUAGGAUAAGCAACUAUCCCAGUCUUCCCAGGAUUGAGGGACUUCUCCAGAUGCUGCACUUCCGGUGCUAAAAAUUAGAAACUGAAAUGAAUUAGUCACCCAAGGAAUGCUGACCCUGUGCUAUAUGAUCACAUUUACUCUUUAAAGCAAUGCUUUGAGAACAAUUGAUCUGCAUAGUCCCUGCAAUCUUAUAAAGGCAUUUGGCCUGGAAGAUGCUCUGCAGCCAUGUGCCAAGAAUAACGGCUAUAGGGACAAUGUUUCAUUAACCCCAAAGCAGCAACCUGAACCUCUUACUGUACAAUAUCUGCUCCGUUCAGAAUUAGCUCGACUUGAGUCACAGGGUGAAGCUUACCAAAAGGAAUUUCCAUGUCCAAGGAAGGAACCAAGAUCACUGAGAGGUUAUAGUAUGAAAAGUGAAGAGAAAAAACCUAUUCUAAACAUUUUAUUAAUUGUCAAUAAUUAUUUUAAAAUAUUUAAUAUAGUCUCCUACCUGGUCCACUGGCAUCAAGCUGCCAAAUUUACACGGUCACUUUGGGAAGCCAGCUGGCAGGCAAACAUGGAAAGUGCUGGCUCCUAGCGUAGUGAGAAGACCACAGAUAGAUGGUAAUUUUCUUCUUUGUUUUAUUUUCCUUUUUCUUCUCUCCCUCUUUUUCUUCCCUCUUGCCUUUCCCUCCCAUUGCCCACUUUCUUUUUUUGGCUGCUGAAGAUUUAUUGCCUUUCAGUACUUAUAGAUGAUGUUUUCAUAAGUUCUAAUGAGGUCCCAGCAGUUUUUAACAAUAACAGGACAUUACUGUUCCUAAGAUAUAUUAUGUGUUUUCCCUCAUCUUUCUCCCUUGAAUGAAAUGCUUAGAAGUAGGCUAACCCCCAAUUCCCUUCCCUUUACUAUGAUAAAUGGCUCCAUUACUUAAUAGGGCUAAAUACUCUGCUGUGACUUUUAUACUGCUGAUUUGAAUAAAAUCUUACGAAAAGCU